UGGGCAUGCCUGAAUUUUCAGAUAUGAGCAUGAAAAAUGAGUUGGAGAAGAAGCUAGAGUAUCAAGCUGGGACAAGUCACUUAGACACCUCAAACACAUUUUUAAAGUUCUCUGCUGGCUGUGAGCUACAUGAAGCUCUAGGACCAGCUUUUUCAAAAGGGUAUCUCUAUUUUGAUUGUGAAACAGAGAACACUGAAGCCAGGAACAUUGUUGAGGUGCCAGAGGGGUUAAGUAUUAGCCAGAUGACAUUUGACACAGGUCCAGAUAAUCUUCUAGAAGCAGUUGUAGGUAAAGUUUGCUAUAGCAGCAGUGAUGUGAAAAGUGAGAAAUCAAUCUGUAAAUCUGUGCAAUCUCAGUUAACAACUGAGAAAAUUUCAGAGCCUUCUAGCCGGCCCAAACAUAUUAUCCAUUCAGCUGGUUAUUCAAUUAAUCAGCAGUCUGUUGUUGAAGAGUAUACACAGAAUUGCUCAAGCUCAACAGGG
This 482-nucleotide unclassified non-coding RNA is filed under the name Hevea brasiliensis (rubber tree). Lineage: Eukaryota; Viridiplantae; Streptophyta; Magnoliopsida; Malpighiales; Euphorbiaceae. The record is from RNAcentral.